RNAcentral lists this ribosomal RNA (493 nucleotides) under uncultured bacterium. RNAcentral describes it as "partial 16S ribosomal RNA". It matches the Rfam family "Bacterial small subunit ribosomal RNA", at positions 28 to 523 of the family's 1533-position model. The record is from RNAcentral.
GAUGAACGCUGGCGGCGUGCCUAACACAUGCAAGUCGAACGAAGCACCUUACCUGAUUCUUCGGAUGAAAGUCUGGUGACUGAGUGGCGGACGGGUGAGUAACGCGUGGGUAACCUGCCCUGUACAGGGGGAUAACAGCUGGAAACGGCUGCUAAUACCGCAUAAGCGCACGAGGAGACAUCUCCUUGUGUGAAAAACUCCGGUGGUACAGGAUGGGCCCGCGUCUGAUUAGCUGGUUGGCAGGGUAACGGCCUACCAAGGCAACGAUCAGUAGCCGGUCUGAGAGGAUGAACGGCCACAUUGGAAAUGAGACACGGUCCAAACUCCUACGGGAGGCAGCAGUGGGGAAUAUUGCACAAUGGGGGAAACCCUGAUGCAGCAACGCCGCGUGAGUGAAGAAGUAUUUCGGUAUGUAAAGCUCUAUCAGCAGGGAAGAUAAUGACGGUACCUGACUAAGAAGCUCCGGCUAAAUACGUGCCAGCCGCCGCCGUAA